GGUUAGUGGCGAACGGUCGCGUAACACGUAAGCAACCUGCCUCGAAGUUUGGGAUAACAGUCUGAAAAGACUGCUAAUACCGGAUGUGGUCCAUUAUCGGCAUCGGUGAUGGUCUAAAGAUUUAUUGCUUCGAGAUGGGCUUGCGGCCUAUCAGGUAGUUGGUGGGGUAAUGGCCUACCAAGCCGACGACGGGUAGCUGGUCUGAGAGGACGAUCAGCCGGAUUGGGACUGAGAUACGGCCCAGACUCCUACGGGGGGCAGCAAUUAGGAAUCUUGCACAAUGGGGGAAACCCUGAUGCAGCGACGCCGCGUGAAGGAUGAAGGAUUUCGGUCUGUAAACUUCUUUUGACAGGGAAGAAAAAAAUGACGGUACCUGUCGAAUCAGCCCCGGCUAACUACGUGCCAGCAGCCGCGGUAAUACGUAGGGGGCGAGCGUUGUCCGAAUUUACUGGGCGUAAAGCGCGCGUAGGCGGUUUCUUAAGUCUGGGGUGAAAGGUUCAACACUCAACGUGAACAGUGCCUUGGAUACUGGGAGACUUGAGUCUGGGAGGGGGUAGUGGAAUUCCUGGUGUAGCGGUGAAAUGCGUAGAUAUCAGGAGGAACACCGGUGGCGAAGGCGGCUACCUGGCCUAAGACUGACGCUGAGGUGCGAAAGCGUGGGGAGCGAACGGGAUUAGAUACCCCGAUAGUCCACGCCGUAAACGAUGAGUGCUAGGUGUAGGGGGUAU
This 728-nucleotide ribosomal RNA is filed under the name uncultured microorganism. RNAcentral describes it as "bacterial SSU rRNA". It matches the Rfam family "Bacterial small subunit ribosomal RNA", at positions 90 to 832 of the family's 1533-position model. The record is from RNAcentral.